AGAGUGAACGCUGGCGGCAGGCCUAACACAUGCAAGUCGAACGGCAGCACAGGGGAGCUUGCUCCCUGGGUGGCGAGUGGCGGACGGGUGAGGAAUGCGUCGGAAUCUGCCUUUUCGUGGGGGAUAACGUAGGGAAACUUACGCUAAUACCGCAUGCGACCCUGUUCCGGGAGUUCAGGGUGAAAGCGGGGGACCUUCGGGCCUCGCGCGGAAAGAUGAGCCGACGCCGGAUUAGCUAGUUGGCGGGGUAACGGCCCACCAAGGCGACGAUCCGUAGCUGGUCUGAGAGGAUGAUCAGCCACACUGGAACUGAGACACGGUCCAGACUCCUACGGGAGGCAGCAGUGGGGAAUAUUGGACAAGUGGGCGCAAGCCUGAUCCAGCCAUGCCGCGUGAGUGAAGAGGCCUUCGGUGUAAGCUUACGUUUGUUAGGAAAGUAAAGUCGUUUACGGUAAUAACCGGAGUUCGUAGACGGUAACCCAAAGAAUAACGACACCGGAC
RNAcentral lists this ribosomal RNA (501 nucleotides) under uncultured soil bacterium. RNAcentral's name for it is "bacterial SSU rRNA". It matches the Rfam family "Bacterial small subunit ribosomal RNA", at positions 26 to 501 of the family's 1533-position model. The record is from RNAcentral.